Molecule: ribosomal RNA, 1022 nt
Filed under: Halobacillus trueperi
Lineage: Bacteria; Bacillati; Bacillota; Bacilli; Caryophanales; Bacillaceae
Description: bacterial SSU rRNA
Rfam family: Bacterial small subunit ribosomal RNA
Source: RNAcentral
GCAAGUCGAGCGCGGGAAGCGAGUGGAUCCCUUCGGGGUGAAGCUCGUGGAACGAGCGGCGGACGGGUGAGUAACACGUGGGCAACCUGCCUGUAAGAUCGGAAUAACCCCGGGAAACCGGGGCUAAUGCCGGGUAAUACUUUCUUUCGCAUGAAGGAAAGUUGAAAGAUGGCUUCUUGCUAUCACUUACAGAUGGGCCCGCGGCGCAUUAGCUAGUUGGUGAGGUAACGGCUCACCAAGGCGACGAUGCGUAGCCGACCUGAGAGGGUGAUCGGCCACACUGGGACUGAGACACGGCCCAGACUCCUACGGGAGGCAGCAGUAGGGAAUCUUCCGCAAUGGACGAAAGUCUGACGGAGCAACGCCGCGUGAACGAUGAAGGUCUUCGGAUCGUAAAGUUCUGUUGUUAGGGAAGAACAAGUACCGUGCGAAUAGAGCGGUACCUUGACGGUACCUAACGAGGAAGCCCCGGCUAACUACGUGCCAGCAGCCGCGGUAAUACGUAGGGGGCAAGCGUUGUCCGGAAUUAUUGGGCGUAAAGCGCGCGCAGGCGGUUCCUUAAGUCUGAUGUGAAAGCCCACGGCUCAACCGUGGAGGGUCAUUGGAAACUGGGGAACUUGAGGACAGAAGAGGAGAGUGGAAUUCCACGUGUAGCGGUGAAAUGCGUAGAUAUGUGGAGGAACACCAGUGGCGAAGGCGACUCUCUGGUCUGUUUCUGACGCUGAGGUGCGAAAGCGUGGGUAGCAAACAGGAUUAGAUACCCUGGUAGUCCACGCCGUAAACGAUGAGUGCUAGGUGUUAGGGGGCUUCCACCCCUUAGUGCUGAAGUUAACGCAUUAAGCACUCCGCCUGGGGAGUACGGCCGCAAGGCUGAAACUCAAAGGAAUUGACGGGGGCCCGCACAAGCGGUGGAGCAUGUGGUUUAAUUCGAAGCAACGCGAAGAACCUUACCAGGUCUUGACAUCCUUGGACAACCCUAGAGAUAGGGCUUUCCCUUCGGGGACCAAGUGACAGGUGGUGCA